AUAUGCUUUGAAGCCCAAUCUUAGCCCAAGCCAUGAUACUAGAAGCCGAAUCAAAAGCUAAUAUAGGGCUUGAUUGGUUCUCCCUCUGCCACCCGCAAACGCAGCGUUUGCGGGUGGUAGCGGUUAUUAGCGGUUGGCACCAAUCAUAGAAACCGCUAGAUACCGCUUUGGACCGCUUGAAAUCACCAGAUUUCAAAAGCUCCUUCCCGCAAGCGUUUGCGGUUGCGGGCGGUAGCGGUUAGGUUAAAAAAAAAUUA
RNAcentral lists this small RNA (257 nucleotides) under Arabidopsis thaliana (thale cress). Its description in RNAcentral is "ATSL143250". The record is from RNAcentral. Lineage: Eukaryota; Viridiplantae; Streptophyta; Magnoliopsida; Brassicales; Brassicaceae.